This 440-nucleotide ribosomal RNA is filed under the name uncultured bacterium. Its description in RNAcentral is "partial 16S ribosomal RNA". It matches the Rfam family "Bacterial small subunit ribosomal RNA", at positions 338 to 795 of the family's 1533-position model. The record is from RNAcentral.
CCUACGGGUGGCAGCAGUGGGGAAUAUUGCACAAUGGGGGGAACCCUGAUGCAGCGACGCCGCGUGAGUGAAGAAGUAUUUCGGUAUGUAAAGCUCUAUCAGCAGGGAAGAAGAUGACGGUACCUGACGAAAAAGCCCCGGCUAACGUCGUGACAGCAGCCGCAGUAAUACGUAGGGGGCAAGGGUUAUCCGGAUUUACUGGGUGUAAAGGGAGCGUAGACGGACGGGGAAGUCAGGAGGGAAAGGGCGGGGCCCAACCCCGGGACUGCUUUGGAAACUGCAAUGCUAGAGUGCUGGAGAGGUAAGCGGAAUUCCUAGUGUAGCGGUGAAAUGCGUAGAUAUUAGGAGGAACACCAGUGGCGAAGGCGGCUUUCUGGUCUGUAACUGACGCUGAGGCUCGAAAGCGUGGGGAGCAAACAGGAUUAGAUACCCUUGUAGUC